This 577-nucleotide long non-coding RNA is filed under the name Mytilus galloprovincialis (Mediterranean mussel). Lineage: Eukaryota; Metazoa; Mollusca; Bivalvia; Mytilida; Mytilidae. The record is from RNAcentral.
GUUUUAUGACAAUCAAUAUGUGACACUUUAAUAAACAAAUUUAUUUAAUACAUUUUUCAAACCGAGCUUGGACAGAGAACAACAAAACGACAUACAUAGCACAGGGGGACUAUAUAUAAGCUAGUAUGCCGCUUGAUAUAAAUGUAAUUAACAUUAAAUAACCAUGUACGAUUUAAUAACAGUGAGUAAGGGCGACAUAAUGCUAAAACUUUUUAAAAGACAGAACUAUACGAAAAUUUAGGAUAUGCGAUGACCAAGCAUUCACAGAUGUUUAAAAAAAUUGAAGAUACAUUAAAAGAGGGACGAAAGAUAGUCAAACUCAUAAAUCGAAAAUAAACUGACAACGCCAUGGCUAAAAAUGAAAGAGAUAAACGGACAAACAAUAGUACACAUGACUCAACAUAGAAAACUCAAGAAUAAACAACACGAACCCCGCCAAAAACUAGGGGUGAUCUCAGGUAUUCCGGAAGGGUAAGCAGAUCUUGCUCCACAUGUGGCAUCCGUCGUGUUGUUUAUGUGAUAACAAAUCCGGUAAAAGGUCUAAUUCGGUAGGUCACAUUCACGAAAGGGAAGGGGA